This 1473-nucleotide long non-coding RNA is filed under the name Nicotiana benthamiana. Its description in RNAcentral is "long non-coding RNA (NBEN_LNC037316)". Lineage: Eukaryota; Viridiplantae; Streptophyta; Magnoliopsida; Solanales; Solanaceae. The record is from RNAcentral.
AUAGUGGGCCGGUUCCACCCUCUAGGACCAUUAAGCCCUGAACCAUUUGGCCCGAGACCGCUUGAGCCCGGGACCAUUUGGUCCAACCCGUUUAGCCCAUUUAGGCCUGGGAUCGGACCAUAAUAAAGCCUUAAUCGGCCCACUUAGUCCGGGGCCUUUAGUUCAUGGUCCUGGUCCUAGGCUGGUUCCGACAAAAAACUCGUGAAGCCCGGGACUACUUAGGUCUGUUUAGGACCGGGACCAGCCGACUUGCCAGCCCUAUCCUGUAUUCAUAAAACUUCAGGACUAAGCUUGAAGGAGUUUGGUUUAACUGCAACUGCACCAGGUACCCUUGUACUAGCAGAAUUGCCAGCCACAAAGGAGGGCUUAGAUAUGACUUCAGUUCUCUUGUGAGCAAUUUCUACUGCCUUCUCCUACAGUCUAGCUUGUUCUACAGCAAACCGCAGAGUUGUAGGUUUAAACAACUUCACCCCAAACAUAAUCUCUUCCUUUAGAGCUCCAAUGAAACUGGAGAUGAAGUGUGAUUCAUCCAAGUGAGGAUUUCUUAUCAACAUUUGAGCCUUCAAGUCUUCAAACUUGCCUAGGAAUCAUCAACUGGACCUACUUGACUCAACUUGUUAAAUUCCUCCAUUAUGUCUCCCAUUAGUUCCUCCCCAAAUCAGAUAAGCAACUCGCUAACUUACUUCACUCUACUUAGCUCUAAUGAGUCAUACCAAGUAUCCACUCAUCCAUUCAGAUAGAAUGCAAUAACUUCUAUUUUCAGAUUGCUUGGGGUCCUACACAGAUUAAAGUACCUUUCACACUUUCAAAUUCACACCUUAGGUUCAUGACCUUCAAAGUAAGGCAGUUCCCACUUAGGAGAAGGGGCAUGCACAGCCUGAGGCAUGUGUUGUCUCAAUUCCAGACCUGCUAUGGGCUAGAGUCCAUCUUCUUGAGGUCUGUCACCUUCAGCUCGUUGGGGAACUCUUUCCAAAUUUGUCAACCUCUCUAAUAUUAGCUCUAAGGUACCAUGUAUCCAAGUUUGAGUGUUGCGUAAUUCCUCUUGAGUGGUCAGGACUUCAUUCAAAAUCUCAUAAUGUCUUACCAGUUUAGCAUCCAUAACUUUCAGCCUCGUCUCUUCAACUAUUACCACCUUCACAGUCGCAGAAUCGAGGAUCUGAUACCAAUUGCAGUGAUCCCGAUAAGAACUAAAAUGAUUAGACAACCAAUUUGCAAAUUGAGAGAAUUUUUGAAACAAUUUUCUAUUUAUAUUAAUGAAAAAAAGAAGUUGAACUACAAAACAAUUGAAAAUAAUAAUCUUCUAAAUUAGAACCCCAUAGCUGAUGAGACUUGCAAAAUGAAGGAGGAAGAAAAAGUUAGAAGGGAAUCAUGUACGUGUGUGUGCGUGUGCGUGUGCGUGUGAGAGAGAGAGAGACGAGAGAGUGUGUAGAAAAGAGAAGAGAGAAAUGAUCUGAUGAUUGUUGCUUUCUCUUU